UGUGUGUAAAGGAAAGACAUUUCAGAGGGCAGGGGAAGUAGCAGGCCACAUGACGGAAAGUGAGCAUCUGUGCCCUCCCUUUAAAGAAUGGACUGUGAGUUCUGCAGUUGAAUUUAAAAUUGGCUUAUGUGAUACUUAGCAGGUUAGUGGGACCUUCUGUAAAUAAUGGGUGCCUAUUGGCGUUGGGCCAUGUGUGUACACACUUUUUUAAUAAGAUCAAACAAGGAAACUUAGGGGGGCUUGGUGCAGCAGCUACUUUGUACUGUUGAGUUAAAAGCCAUUCCAUAAGCUUUCGUGGACUACACCCCCCUUCUUCGGAUGCAUAUAGAAUGGAACAUAUAUUGAGGAGAUAUAUAUACACACAUACAGAGAGCAUAAACAGGUGGGAGUUGUCUUACCAACUCUGAGAGACCAAUUAAGUAAGAGAAAAAAACUUUUGAAGUGAUAAUCAAGCUAGCCCAGUACAGACAGUGUGAUAAGAAGUGUGAGAGUACUUACAAGGGGAGAUAGUCAACGUUUGUAAUGGCUCAGCCAUUCCCAGUCCUUAUUCAAUCCUGAGUUGAUUGUGUCUAGUUUGCAUAUCAGUUCCAGCUCAGCAGUCUCUUGUUGGAGUCUGUUUUUGAAGUUUUUCUGUUGUAAUAUAGCCACCCGCAGGCCUGUCACUGAAUGACCAGACAGGUUAAAGUGUUCUCCCACUGGUUUUUGAGUAUUUUGAUUCCUGAUGUCAGAUUUGUGUCCAUUAAUUCUUUUGCGUAGAGACUGUCUGGUUUGGCCAAUGUACAUGGCAGAGGGGCAUUGCUGGCACAUGAUGGCAUAGAUCACAUUGGUAGAUGUGCAGGUGAACGAGCCCCUGAUGGUAUGGCUGAUGUGAUUAGGUCCUAUGAUGAUGUCACUUGAAUAGAUAUGUGGACAGAGUUGGCAUCGGGCUUUGUUACAAGGAUAGGUUCCUGGGUCAGUGGUUUUGUUCAGCGAUGUGUGGUUGCUGGUGAGUAUUUGCUUUAGACAAGCACCUACAAGAUCUCUAUCAAGCAUUCUUAAAACUACAAUGCCCACCUGCUGAAGUGAAAAAACAGAUUGACAGAGCCAGACGAGUACCCAGAAGUCACCUCCUACAAGACAGGCCCAACAAAGAAAAUAACAGAACACCACUAGCUGUCACCUUCAGCCCCCAACUAAAACCUCUCCAGCGCAUCAUCAGAGAUCUACAACCUAUCCUCAAAGAUGAUCCUUUACUCUCACAGAUCUUGGGAGACAGACCUGUCCUCGCUUACAGACAACCCCCCAAUCUAAAGCAAAUACUCACCACCGGGCGGAGUUGGGGCGAGGGGGGCGCGAGCCCUUCCGGGCUCCGGAGCCUUUGCUUGUUUGUCCAGUGUCCCGACCUAACAUUGGUCGGGACGCGGGACAAACAAGCAAAUAUCGGGACAGUCCCGAUAAAAUCGGGACAUCUGGUCACCCUAGCUACAGCCCACUUCAUUGGAUGCAUGAACUCCUGUUCUUUUAACUAAAACGUUGGCAUUUCACUUACUGUGCAGGAAAGUGGCAGUAACCAGUGGUGGUCUGGUGGCCAGCAGUAUUUAUCUUCGGGGCAUUUCUGAGCUGUAAUGUGCUUCGGCUGACAAGAAAUGUAUUAAAUUAAUCCCAAUAGAAAGAUUUUAAACAUGCUCUUAGACAGUCGUCUCUGCUUUGGUAACUGCAAUUCCUGGAUGUCAGAACUAAGCAGGGACUGACUUUUCUUCUGUGUGCUUUGCAGCUGCUCCUGACCAGGCUGCCAAACUGCAGCGACUUGCUCAAAUCCACAUCCAGCAGCAGUCACAGUGUUUAUUACAAGCAGCAAGUCCAAGAUAAUAGAACACUGGAUGUAUUGACAUCUGCACGCAGACAGCAGGUCCGUGUUUGAUGGCCUGCUGCACACAAUUAAAGAAAUCCUGGAGAAGAGCUACACCCCAGGAGAGAUGUGCCACCGCUGAGUCAGUCAAAAUGUCAGCCGUAUGAACUUGGCAGAACAGAGGGGUAUUGCUGGAGACCAUCGUUCUUUUCUUUUGCAAACCUUCCAGCUACUGUUUCACAGCCUCUGACCCUACCUCAUUUUCACUGGCAUUCACUACGUUAGUCGUCCCAUCGCCACCAACCACCUUGGUGAAAACCGAAACAAAGACGUCAUUAAGCACCUCUGCCAUUUCCACAUUUUCUGUUAUUGUCUUUCCCCCCUCAUUGAGUAACGGGCCCACCCUGUCCUUGGUCUUCCUCUUGCUUCUAUUGUAUUUGUGGAAUGUUUUCUUGUUACCCUUUAUGUCUCUGGCUAGUUUGAUCUCGUUUUGUGCCUUGGCCUUUCUAAUUUUGCCCCUACAGACUUGUGUUGUUUGUUUAUAUUCAUCCUUUGUAGUUUGACCUAGUUUCCACUCCUUUUUGAGUUUUAGAUAAUUGAAGAUCUCCUGGUUAAGCCAGGGUGGUCUCUUGCCAUCCUUCCUAUCUUUCCUACGCAGUGCGAUAGUUUUCUCUUGUGCCCUUAAUAAUAUCUCUGAAAAACUGCCAACUGUCUUCAAUUGUUUUUCCUCUUUACUUGCUUCCCAUGGGAUCUUACCUACCAACUCCCUGAGUUUGCUGAAGUCUGCCUUCUUGAAAUCAGUUGUCUUUACUGUUCUGUUCUCCCUCCUACCAUUCCUUAGUAUCGUGAACUCGACCAUUUCAUGAUCACUUUCACCCAAGCUGCCUUCUGCUUUCAAAUUCUCAACCAGUUCUUCCCUAUUUGUCAAAAUCAAAUCUAGAACAGCCUGUGACGUUAUGAGUGUAAUAUAAUAUCUCAUUGAAAGGUGACAGGGCCAGAAAGAGUUAAUUACCUCACAGACUGACCUGACCCAUGGUCGAACUUUAGAGACUGGUUAGGAAGAUCUGUAAAUUAAUAGAGCUUUGAAAUGCAGCUGGCAUUGUUAGAGAUGGAAGGGGAGCUGUUUGCUCAGGUCUUGUGAUGUAAGCAAACAAGUCUUGUCUAUUGCUAUAGCUUUCAUUCAAAGAUCAAAAAAGGAAUAUUAACAUUUAGGAAGAUACUUGAAGGAAAUAGUAUUAUUGUCUCUGUCUCUUUGAAGGUUGUGGUAACCUGUAUCUGAACUGUUUAAUGGAUAAAUUACCCUGUGCUAAUUGCCAGGAUGUUUGGGAGAAGGACAGUUAAGCCUAUUGUUUUCUCAGGCCAAGAAGCUGCAGGAAAUGUAUAAAAACCUUGGGACUCAAUCCUUCAUCUCAGAUCUGCUUUGGGUUUUAAGAAGGGGAAACCUUAAGCCAUAAGGAUUGAGAUCCCCAGUCACUGACUGGAGUCACCCUGAGCAUGGACAUUGGACUAUAACCUAUGGACUAUUUCUAAUAGGACUUUUGGCAACUACAAGCCCAUCUCUGCUAUGUACCUGAACCUCAAGAAUUGAAUUCAGGUGGACCUGAUCUCUGUUUAGCAGUCCUUCUUCCUGGAACAGCAUCCCGUGGUCAAGGAAGCCGAAGCCCUCCUGGCGACACAAUCUUCGCAGCCAGGCAUUCACCUCCAGGAUGCAUCUCUCUCUGCCGAGGCCCCUCCCCUUGAUUGGAAUGACUGAAGAGAACAGUACCUGCGCUCCCAACUCCCUCACCCUUAUUCCCCUGUAGUCAUUUCUGAGCUGCUGAGGGUCAUACCUCACAGUAUCAUUAGUGCCCACAUGGAUGAGUAGCGUGGGGUAGUAGUCAGAGGGCCAGGUGAUCCUUGACAAUCCCUCCGUAAUGGCUGGGAUACAGGCCCCUGGCAGGCAGCAUACCUCCCGAGAUGCCAUGUCUGGGCAACAGAUGAGUGCCUCCGUCCUUCUCAGAAGAGAGUCUCCAACCACCACUCCUCACUACAUGUGUCUGACGAAGUGGGUAUUCACCCACGAAAGCCUAUGCUCCAUACAUUUGUUAGUCUAUAAGGUGCCACAGGAUUCUUUGUUGCUUUUUACAGAUCCAGACUAACACUGCUACCCCUCUGAUACUUCACUACCCUACGUUUCCUCCUGGGAAUGGUGUCUGUGAUCCUCCCAGCCUGGGGGGUACAGGCUUCUCCUCUUCAACCGUUGGGGGUGAUUCCUCAUCACUUGUUGCCAGGGCAGCAUAGCAGUUCUCCAUCACUAUGGUGGGGGGUUGGGAGUAGGGGUGGAGCAAUUCCUGCUGCUAGAAGUAACCAGCUGCCUGUGUCAUCCCUGUACCAGAGCCUUUUUCUCCUCCCCGGUGGCAUGACAGCAGUCCUCUCUAGCUGGAUAGCGUCCUCAGCCUUGAAGUCUCCAUAUGAAUACUCUCAAGGAAUUCCUCGUGGGCUCGGAGGAAGCUCCCCAGCCCAGCCCCCUCCUCCUGUAGCUCUCCCACCUGCUUCCCGAGAGAUCCCACCAGCAGGCACCUUUCACACUGGAUGGUCCCCCCCCAACCUGGCUGUCUGUGAGUGGGAAACGCAGGCCACAGUCUCUGCAAGUCCAGACCAGGAUCUGGGGAGAGGCAUCCAUGACUAGGUUGUCUGUCUGGAUACCGGCGCAGGUGGAGGAGACAGGAGCAGCGUUGCCACUGGUGAUGUGGCCUUUUCUUACCAUAACGAUUAUAUUACGUCUCCCUCCCACAACCUCCCCUGUUUGCUAGCUCCCCUUGGUCGUUUAGCCUCUGGCUUUUAAGGCCUUUUCUCUUAGGUCAGCCCUGCCCCCUAAUUAAUCACCUGGAGGGAGAGUGAUCACAGAGCGGAUUGAGGCUGAUCAAGGAUGAUCCAGGGAACAAAGGCUCAAACAGUCUCCAGCCCCACAAUCCCAACUGACCCAGUAACUGAAAUAACCCGAAAGAGAGAGAAAAACACAAACAUCCAAACAAACUCACUCGCACCUUCCAAUACCACCUUUGCCAUCAGAGGCAUGAGAACUAGGGCUGCAGGGGGUGCUGCAGCACCCCUGGGGUCUGGGCCACUGGCCCCCUUGCACCCGGGGUCUGGGCUGCUGGCCCUGCCACGCU
Molecule: long non-coding RNA, 4980 nt
Organism: Malaclemys terrapin pileata
Lineage: Eukaryota; Metazoa; Chordata; Testudines; Emydidae
Exons: 5
Source: RefSeq, a predicted model, not a curated record